RNAcentral lists this ribosomal RNA (468 nucleotides) under uncultured bacterium. RNAcentral's name for it is "partial 16S ribosomal RNA". It matches the Rfam family "Bacterial small subunit ribosomal RNA", at positions 28 to 507 of the family's 1533-position model. The record is from RNAcentral.
GACGAACGCUGGCGGCGCGCCUAACACAUGCAAGUCGAACGGAGCUGAGAGAAGCUUGCUUUUCUUAGCUUAGUGGCGAACGGGUGAGUAACGCGUGAGUAACCUGCCCUGGAGUGGGGGACAACAGUUGGAAACGACUGCUAAUACCGCAUAAGCCCACGUUCCGGCAUCGGAUUGAGGGAAAAGGAUUUAUUCGCUUCAGGAUGGACUCGCGUCCAAUUAGCUAGUUGGUGAGGUAACGGCCCACCAAGGCGACGAUUGGUAGCCGGACUGAGAGGUUGAACGGCCACAUUGGGACUGAGACACGGCCCAGACUCCUACGGGAGGCAGCAGUGGCGGAUAUUGCAAAAUGGGGGAAGCGAUGAUGCAGCGACGUCGCGUGGAGGAAGAAGGUUUUCGGAUUGUAAACUCCUGUAGUUAGGGACGAUAAUGACGGUACCUAACAAGAAAGCAACGGCUAACUACGUG